Molecule: long non-coding RNA, 376 nt
Organism: Dromiciops gliroides (monito del monte)
Lineage: Eukaryota; Metazoa; Chordata; Mammalia; Microbiotheria; Microbiotheriidae
Exons: 3
Source: RefSeq, a predicted model, not a curated record
UAUGAGAGACACUCAUUUAAAGAUUUUUGAGGAGAAAGUUGAAAUAAUCAGGAUGGUAUUUAAGGAAUAUUAAAUUGGGACAGUGAUAUGAAGGAUGAAUUAGAGAAGUGAGAGACCAGAAGCAGGAACACUAGUCGCAAAAUUAUUCCCAUAAUCUGGAAGAGAUGAGAUGAAGGGAUCUGGAGUGGAAGCAAAGAGGAGAAGAAAAGUGUCCAGGAAAAGGGAAUGGCUCCUCACUCUCUGGAGAGUCCAUCGUUGGCAUUGUGAUUGGAGUCCUACUUGGAGUGAUUUUGAUGGGGGCCCUCAUCUAUUUCCUGUUCUUUAGAAAGACUGGAAGGGCCAGUGAACAUCAUCUUACAGAGCACAAAUCCUCAGC